This 492-nucleotide ribosomal RNA is filed under the name uncultured bacterium. Its description in RNAcentral is "partial 16S ribosomal RNA". It matches the Rfam family "Bacterial small subunit ribosomal RNA", at positions 29 to 507 of the family's 1533-position model. The record is from RNAcentral.
AGUGAACGCUGGCGGUAGGCCUAACACAUGCAAGUCGAACGGCAGCACAGUAAGAGCUUGCUCUUACGGGUGGCGAGUGGCGGACGGGUGAGGAAUACAUCGGAAUCUACUUUUUCGUGGGGGAUAACGUAGGGAAACCUACGCUAAUACCGCAUACGACCUACGGGUGAAAGCAGGGGAUCUUCGGACCUUGCGCGAUUGAAUGAGCCGAUGUCGGAUUAGCUAGUUGGCGGGGUAAAGGCCCACCAAGGCGACGAUCCGUAGCUGGUCUGAGAGGAUGAUCAGCCACACUGGAACUGAGACACGGUCCAGACUCCUACGGGAGGCAGCAGUGGGGAAUAUUGGCCAAUGGGCGCAAGCCUGAUCCAGCCAUACCGCGUGGGUGGAGAAGGCCUUCGGGUUGUAAAGCCCUUUUGUUGGGAAAGAAAAGCAGCAGGUUAAUACCCCGCUGUUCUGACGGUACCCAAAGAAUAAGCACCGGCUAACUUCGUG